GAUGAUUUGGAUUAUGCUCCUUGUCAGGAUGCAGAAAAAGAAAUUUGAGUGGGAAAGUGAAAAAGGGGCAAUCAUUGAAGACAAAGGGUAAAAAGUCCAAAGGUACAAUCACAUUAUGCUCAUGCCAUAUCGACAGUGUCCUCCAAUGAUCCAAGCCACUGACCUCUGAUGCCUCUGCCUACCGAGUUUCAAACUCAGCACACAUUUGCACCUAGUCGCUUAGCUUAUUUCCAAAGACGGCUG
Molecule: long non-coding RNA, 243 nt
Organism: Choloepus didactylus (southern two-toed sloth)
Lineage: Eukaryota; Metazoa; Chordata; Mammalia; Pilosa; Megalonychidae
Exons: 3
Source: RefSeq, a predicted model, not a curated record